RNAcentral lists this long non-coding RNA (1098 nucleotides) under Ovis aries (sheep). RNAcentral's name for it is "lncRNA (ENSOARG00000025840.1)". The record is from RNAcentral. Lineage: Eukaryota; Metazoa; Chordata; Mammalia; Artiodactyla; Bovidae.
AUGAAGGUAUUCAAACAGUCGGAGCUUCUUCCUGCCUUUUCCUCCCUUUUGCUGGAGAAGAACAGGUUGUACCAGCUGGUUUUUGGGGACGUUCUCCAGAGAUUGAUGAAUAUUUCCUUCAAAAUAGAGGUCUGCAGCACUGUUCUGAGGAGUACUGAAAGUCUCCAGGUGAAUGCUGCCUCAGUACUUCAAAGGCAUCUUCAAAUGCUUGACCCAGCUUGUCUUGUUCAGCACAAGCCAUGCUUCAUUAAAAAAUUGACAAUUCUGUCCAUCAGAGGCCAAUGCAACGUUUAUAAGUGCUCCAGGUGGAAACAACUUUCCCCUCUGACGCACAGGUCUGCAACACUCUCCGCACUUAACCAUUUUAAAACUGUACAAUUUAGUGACAUCAGUGCACUCACAGUGUUGUGCAAGCACUCCCUUGGAUUGUAUCUGUCAAGGAUUAUAAAGGGGAUAGAAUGACAGGUUGAUUGAGGCCAUGUGUCCAUCUACUGCCCAUGUCUCUUGGAGAAAUCAAUGAGGCAAAGCACUUGUAACAGCUAGUAGAAAGAUUCCAUCUAUAUUAAAUAUAAGUAUGAAUUAUUACAGCUACUUUAAAUAUUUAUAAAAUGGAGUACAUUAAAAAAAAUAUUUAUUUGGCUGCAGCGGGUCUUAGUCAUGGCAUGAGUGAUCCUUUAGUUCAGACAUGUGUGAUCUUUUAGUUCAGGCACGCAGCAUGCAAACUCUUAGUUGGGACAUGUGGGAUCUACUCCCCUAACUGGGGAUGGAACCCAGGCCCCCUGCAUUGAGGGCAUGGACACUUAGCCCCUGGACCACCAGGGAAGUCCCACAGUGAGUGAAUUUUACUAUUUAUGUAUGGUAAAUUCAGGGGAUACAACUUAUAAUAAGUAGAUUAUUUAGCUUAUUUAACUAAUAUGCAGAGUACAUCAUGUGAAAUGCCAGGCUGGAUGAAGCACAAUCUGGAAUCAAGAUUGCUGGGAGAAAUAAUCAAGAGCCUCAGAUACGCAGAUGACACCACCCUUAUGGCAGAAAGCGAAGAACAACUAAAGAGCCUCUUGAUUCAAAGAGAGAGGAAAGUGAAAAAGUUGGCUUAAAACU